Macaca mulatta (Rhesus monkey) is the source of this 353-nucleotide non-coding RNA. The record is from RefSeq and is a predicted model, not a curated record. NCBI's taxonomy places the organism in Eukaryota, Metazoa, Chordata, Mammalia, Primates, Cercopithecidae.
AGGACUACAGUGACCAGCAAAUGUAUCUACUUGCCAGAUGUCAAGCUGGAACUCAGAGAACACACCAUCUUUUGAGAAGAAGGAGCCCUGUGCUGUGAUAGAGUAUCCAGAGAAAUUCAGAGAGUCUCAGAUGUAACCAAAAUGGGGUCUGAAGUACAGCUGCUAACAACUCCCAUGAGCAGAGUGAACAAGCAAGGGACCUGCUGGACCCACUGUGUCCUUUGAACUCUCAGAGCAGGUGGGAAUUGUGAGUCAUUGAGAAUAAUGCUGUGAAGUUCAGGAUAGAGAAGAGAUCAAUGGUAAAUCCCCAAAUGAGGCAAGCAUCCAAUACAGGAUUAUUCCAACUGGUAAAA